CGACCGGCGCACGGGUGAGUAACGCGUAUCCAACCUACCCAAUACUCAGGCAUGACCCGUUGAAAGACGGACUAAUUCCUGAUGGUAUGUAUUUUUCUCAUGAUUUAUACAUUAAAGAAUUUCGGUAUUGGAUGGGGAUGCGUCUGAUUAGUUUGUUGGUGAGGUAACGGCUCACCAAGACUUCGAUCAGUAGGGGUUCUGAGAGGAAGGUCCCCCACAUUGGAACUGAGACACGGUCCAA
This 241-nucleotide ribosomal RNA is filed under the name uncultured bacterium. RNAcentral describes it as "partial 16S ribosomal RNA". It matches the Rfam family "Bacterial small subunit ribosomal RNA", at positions 92 to 334 of the family's 1533-position model. The record is from RNAcentral.